UAUCGAAAUUACUUGAAGGAAGAGGGCGAGACUUGAUAAAUAGGGCACUGGACUGUCGCUGGCUUUCUUUUGCAUCGCAUGUGCACGUCCUUUAUCCUUGGAGUCCACCCUUUUCUCUCAUUUAAAAUUCACAACAACCACACCUGUGCACCUAUUGUAGGUUCUCGAAAGAGAAAUCUAUGUUUUUUACUUCACUUUUAAUGCUGCAUGUUCAUAGAAUGUUAUCAAAUUGGCUUUCGUCAAUCAAUCCUGGACUCUUCAUUGGAGUCUUAGGUUUUUUUUGGCCGGUCAAUAUAAAAUCAUAAUACAACUUUCAGCAACGGAUCUCUUGGCUCUCGCAUCGAUGAAGAACGCAGCGAAUUGCGAUAAGUAAUGUGAAUUGCAGAUUUCCAGUGAAUCAUCGAAUCUUUGAACGCACCUUGCGCUCCUUGGUAUUCCGAGGAGCAUGCCUGUUUGAGUGUCAUUUUGAAUUCUCAACCAUCUCUUGAUUCAUUUCAAGAUCGUUGGCUUGGAAAUGGGGGCUGCUGGUCAUGGUCUUUGACUUGGAUCAGCUCUCCUAAAAUGAAUUAGCGAUUGGGUAGCCAAGUCUUUCGACGUGCACGGCCUUUCGACGUGAUAAUGAUCGUCGUGGCUGGAGCGUCUUUGAGUUGAAUUCAAUGCCUAUUGCUUAUAACAAUAAUAUAUAUAAUGAGAAUGUAAUGAGGGAAAGGAAUAUGUCCCCCGAGCUUUCAAGCCUUUUCUAGUUACUAGUUGGUCAACGGACCGGCGAACACAGAAAAGUACAAGGCCUGGCCACGUAUCUUCCUUCCUCUUCAUUAUUCAAGACUAGUGUCUCUGACCGUCUUAUUCUCAUAUAUUUAUAUUUUCGAAACUUG
Molecule: unclassified non-coding RNA, 875 nt
Filed under: Boletaceae sp. 13 CG-2012
Lineage: Eukaryota; Fungi; Basidiomycota; Agaricomycetes; Boletales; Boletaceae
Description: sequence contains ITS1, 5.8S rRNA gene, ITS2
Rfam family: 5.8S ribosomal RNA (bases 309-463)
Source: RNAcentral